UACGUAGGGGGCAAGCGUUGUCCGGAAUCAUUGGGCGUAAAGCGCGUGUAGGCGGCAGGGCAUGUCGGAUGUGAAAUCCCGUGGCUCAACCACGGAAGUGCACCCGAAACUGCCCAGCUUGAGUCUCGGAGAGGAAGGCGGAAUGCUUGGUGUAGAGGUGAAAUUCGUAGAUAUCAAGCAGAACACCGGUGGCGAAGGCGGCCUUCUGGACGAUGACUGACGCUGAGACGCGAAAGCGUGGGGAGCAAACAGG
This 253-nucleotide ribosomal RNA is filed under the name uncultured bacterium. Its description in RNAcentral is "partial 16S ribosomal RNA". It matches the Rfam family "Bacterial small subunit ribosomal RNA", at positions 524 to 776 of the family's 1533-position model. The record is from RNAcentral.